GUGGGAAGGACACGUGCACCGUGCUUUUACUGAUGGACCACCGAGACGUUGUGAAGCGAUUUAGAUCUGGAUGAGGCUGUUAAGCGUCAACACAAGCGACUGCACUCAGGCGUCACCUGCGACCGUUGUUACUACACUUCUCCUCCUGAGAGAACAGGUCCAGGCACUCCCUCAGCGUGACCUCGGCCGAGGAGCUCCUCUUCGGGAUGGGCAGCGACAGGUCGCAGAACACGUCAAACGUGUUGGAGUAGUGGGAGCACACGGAGCAAUGCAGCGAGCUGCGCAGCUGACCUGAGAACAGGUGCUUCUUCCACAUGGCAGCUGCCUCUUCUGAAAGCCUGAGGGAGAACGAUGAGUGGUCACGUCGUUAGCGCGUUAGAGGCAGACUGCUCCCUCAGAGCAUCCUCACCUGAACCUGGCAUAUUUUUGUUCAAUCUCCUUCUCGGUGCGUCGUACGUUGGGUCUGCGAUUGAUUUCCGUGUGCAGCUUGUCCAGCAGGAACCGGAGGAACUCCUGCGCGUCCUGUUGACUUGGAUCAGCACAAAGACAUAAAGGCUUUUACUGGUUCACACAUGUCAAUAUAUUAGUGCAUUAUAAGCAGCUUUGCACGUAGAUUACAGCAUUUAUUUCAACUGGACCAUCUUUGCAGAAGCUUUGCUUUUUAUUAUUAUUUACCUGUAACCGGUGAAGUAAGGCACCACCUCUUUAAACAUGGUGUAAAAGUGCCGCGCGUUGACGACGGCGCCGCCCUCGUUCACGUCCCACAGGCCCGACAGCACCUGAGAGAACGCUGGCACAAACAGGCACGGCGCGAUGAGCACACGGCGAAGGGACGAACACAGCGGAUGGCGGAGGAGCUCACCUUCCAUGAGCUUGGCCUCCUCUUUGGAGAACCUCUCGUGCCUGUAGGAGCGGAGCAGGCAGUAGUCCCGCAGCCCGCGGGUGUGAGACAAGCACUGCACUACUGCAUUCAGGAAACACUGAAGUGGAGGCGAAGCACAUUGGAAAGUGGGGACUAUUGGCACAUGCAU
Long non-coding RNA from Betta splendens (Siamese fighting fish), 1031 nucleotides. RefSeq lists it as uncharacterized. Lineage: Eukaryota; Metazoa; Chordata; Actinopteri; Anabantiformes; Osphronemidae. The record is from RefSeq and is a predicted model, not a curated record. The transcript has 3 exons.